Molecule: long non-coding RNA, 825 nt
Organism: Apodemus sylvaticus (European woodmouse)
Lineage: Eukaryota; Metazoa; Chordata; Mammalia; Rodentia; Muridae
Exons: 4
Source: RefSeq, a predicted model, not a curated record
GGUAGCACGCUUGUUGUAAAACUAGCAGGUGCUCCUUCUUCGCGGAGCUUACUGAUUUUAGAGAAAUCCGAGAUGCGAAACUGUCAGGGUGGAUUCUGAAUGUGCUUGAAAGUGGUUGGGCUUCUCAGUAAAUAGACUCCAACUGAGAACGUGUAGAUGCUAGAUGCUGGCCACUAAGGAAUGCAUCCCAGACAGAGGAAACGGAACCAUGGGAAAGUGGGGCAGGAAGCCCCGAAGAAUGCAGUUGCUCUCCUGCACACACCAUAUCAUCAGUAGAGGUCCUUCCACUGAGCGCCCUCUCAAAACUGCUUUGGUUUUGCAGGUAGAAGCAAAGUAUUAGACAUCAGUCCAUCUUGUGCCUUAAUCAGAUUGCGCUGAGUCUGUGCACAUGGGUGAUCCGAGCAGACGGAGGAUGAGCCAAGUUUCUUCUCAUAAUGAACAACUGGACAUCUGGAAUCUCCUAGAACUAAAAGCCUUCUUCUGUACGGCAAAGGAAGCAAGCAAUCAAAAACACCGCCUAAGGAACGGGAGAAAAUACUGACUAGCUACUUAUCUGUCAGAGCGUUAGGAACUAGAAUAGUCAAAGAACUAAAAAUAAACCAAGAAAAUAAUAAGAUAAAAAGUAGAAAUGAUGGGCUGGAGAGAUGGCUCAGCAGGUAAGAGCACUGACUGCUCUUCUGAAGGUUCUGAGUUCAAAUCCCAGCAACCACAUGGUGGCUCACAACCAUCGGUAAUGAGAUCUGAUGCCCUCUUCUGGGGUGUCUAAAGACAGCUGUAAUGUAAUUACAUGUAAUAAAUAAAUUUUUAAAAAAAGUAGAAAUGAAU